This 452-nucleotide ribosomal RNA is filed under the name Haemophilus sp. 05-7825. RNAcentral describes it as "bacterial SSU rRNA". It matches the Rfam family "Bacterial small subunit ribosomal RNA", at positions 69 to 513 of the family's 1533-position model. The record is from RNAcentral. Lineage: Bacteria; Pseudomonadati; Pseudomonadota; Gammaproteobacteria; Pasteurellales; Pasteurellaceae.
CAGGAGAAAGCUUGCUUUCUUGCUGACGAGUGGCGGACGGGUGAGUAAUGCUUGGGAAUCUGGCUUAUGGAGGGGGAUAACGACGGGAAACUGUCGCUAAUACCGCGUAGAGUCGAGAGACGAAAGUGCGGGACCGCAAGGCCGCAUGCCAUAGGAUGAGCCCAAGUGGGAUUAGGUAGUUGGUGGGGUAAUAGCCUACCAAGCCGACGAUCUCUAGCUGGUCUGAGAGGAUGACCAGCCAGCACCGGGACUGAGACACGGCCCGGACUCCUACGGGAGGCAGCAGUGGGGAAUAUUGCGCAAUGGGGGCAACCCUGACGCAGCCAUGCCGCGUGAAUGAAGAAGGCCUUCGGGUUGUAAAGUUCUUUCGGUAUUGAGGAAGGUUGUUGUGUUAAUAGCACGACAAAUUGACGUUAAAUACAGAAGAAGCACCGGCUAACUCCGUGCCAGCA